Long non-coding RNA from Phyllostomus discolor (pale spear-nosed bat), 3570 nucleotides. RefSeq lists it as uncharacterized. The record is from RefSeq and is a predicted model, not a curated record. NCBI's taxonomy places the organism in Eukaryota, Metazoa, Chordata, Mammalia, Chiroptera, Phyllostomidae. The transcript is spliced from 2 exons.
GUAAACUUAUGCUGAAAUAAAUGUCAAGCAGAAAGAUGACAAAACCUCCAAGGCUCACAUUUAUAUGGGGCUCUGAAAAUCCUCUCGUGUAAUAACUGGGAAUACCAGAUGCUUGUAUAAACUCUUACUUAUUACUUUGCCUGUAAUUCUUGAGAGAUCAAGAAAAAGUUAUUUGAUCAAUAGGUAUAAUUAAUAAUUGAGGAAAGCGUUACCAUUUUAUUUACUCAUUUCAUUUAAUAAAGACAUUGCAUUUGACAACUACGUGUCCAAAGAUAUUAUCCCUAUGCUCAAGAAACUUACUGCUAGAGGAAAGAUAGAAAUGCAAACAAAAUAUGAAUAUUCAUAAAGUAGACAGGCAAUUCAUGGAGGUCUUGAGAGAGGAAGUUGCAUCUAAAUUGAGACUUGAAGGAUGAGUAGAAGUUUGUAUGAAAGAAUGAGGCAUCUUUAGUAGAUUGCAAAUAGCUCACUAUUUCUUGAAGGCAAGGGAUACUUGGAAAUGGUGGAGAGGAAGGGUUGAAGAAGAGUGGCAAAUGCUAAGAGAUGAGACUUUUGUCUGUUUACCGUUGCAUUUCUAACACCUACAGCAGUGCCUGGCACAAAGCAGACUCAGUAACUACUUGAAGAAUGAACAAAGUGAAUGAGUGAAUAAUAAAUAGGGGCAGGCCAUAAAGGACCUGCUAUACCAUGCAAAUUAUUUUAUCCAGUGAAGAAUACUGAAUAAGGAAUGACAUCAGAUUUGCUUUUUAGAAAAAUUACUUAAUUAGAAGUUGGGUGGAUAUAGAGAGUGAUCUCAGGCAAGGAGACCAUUGAGAAGGCUAUCUAACAAUCCAAGCAAGAGAGGUUAGAGGCCUGAUCUAAGGCAUUGACAUUGGCAUUGGGAACGGGAAACAUUGACAUUGGCAUCUGGAGAGCAGAGAAUCAAUGUAAGAAAUAUUUGGAAGAUAGAAUCUACAAGACUAGGUAGUUGUGAAGACUAGGUAGUUGAUGUAUGUAUAGAAAAAGGGAGAGACAGAGAAAUAAUUCCCAUGUUUCUUUCUGACUUGGGCACAUGAGUGAAGAGCUAUUCCAUUAACUGGAUAAAGAAUAUAGGUAGAUAAGCAAGUUGGAGGGAUGAGAUGAUGAUGAUGUUAGAUUUCAGAUAUGUUCAUUCUGAAAUGAUUGUGGGACAUUCAGAUAAAGCUGUCUGGUAGACAGUUGCAUAUACAUGGUAUAUCAAAGUCAAGAAAUCUUAACUAGCAUUUUUUCGUGCUAUUUUAGAGGAGAACAGAACAAAGCUUCAUAGUUUUAAUUUUAUUUUAAAAUAACUUUAUACUUCUAUUAUUACUCUUGCAAUUACAUCAAUCUCUAGUUUAAAUUACCUUUUUUGGGCACACUUUAAUAAUUUUUCCCUUGAAGGUAGACUUUUAAAAGGUAGCCAUCUUGGUCAAAAGCAGGUAAUUGAUCUCAACAUCUGUCCUAUUAAGAUCCAUUAGUUUCAAUAAAUGUUUGUACAGUGCCAAAUGGUUUAUGUCUUAGAAGCUAUUUUAAGUACAUUAUACCAAGUAUCAUGUUAAGCUUAUAGUAAAACAAAUUAGACUAAAAUUUUAAUGUUAAUAAAUGGCCAGACAGGGGCUUGUUCAGAAAAAGGCACUGAGUGCAUUGAGGUUUAAAUGUAAAUAAUUAUAGUUUGGAAAGUUCUGUGUGUUUAUCAGUGCAUUUCUGUCUUAGAUCCUCCAUUCAGUACAGCCCAUGAUCUGCCCUCCUGGUCUUCUAAUUAAGUAGAUAUCAGCUUUAGUAAAAUGAAUGAAAAAAAAAAAAAACCGUUUACCCCCCAGCUCUUGGUGAACGUUGGUGAACAUUAACAUAUCUCAGUGACUUGAUGUAGUUGCUGUUGAUAAAACAUGUUAUUUUCCCUAAGACUAUGUUGCAGACUCUUCUACUUGUUUUAUUUUUACUAAGCCACUUCUAUGUCAGUUUUAAAUUUUUAAUAGAAAUAUUUUAAAGUAAAAGUUUUGUUACUGAUAAUAUUUAAACAUGAUGCUUCUUCUGAGAGUCUCCCCCAAGUCUACAGUUAUGCAUAUGCUGAUAGCACCAAUAACCGAGUUCAUACAAAUGCGUAUUUGGUACCAAGGUAUUCAUUUGUUCAACAAAUUUUGUACAGGAUACUUUAAUAGACCUUGUGGGAAAUACAAAAUGAGUAGGACCAUGGGAAGACCAAAGAGCUUCUGGUCUAAGAAAAAAAUAUUAAUAUAUAUAUAUAUAAAUGUGUAUAUAUGGCACAAAAUAAAAACUGACCCACAUCAUAAAACAUAAAGAUAAAAUGUUAAGGGGAUUAGGAAAUGGGAGAUAUCACUUAUAGCUGGAAAAAUCAGAGAUGAUUUCAUUGAGGAGGAUAGGUUUUGACCGGUUUUGAUGAAAGGAAAGGAUGUAGACAGAAGUGGGAAAAGUGGUUACAGAACAGGAAAUAGCAAGAUUAACGUCUCAGAGGUGUGCUUACACAGGAUGUAAGAUGGAAGAGGAGUGAGGGCAUAGAAGAUAAAUUUGGCAAAUCCUGUUGGAGUUGGGUCACAGAGGGCCUAAGGGCCAGGCAAAUGACUUGGAUUUUAUUCAUGAAGCAGUUUUUAAACAGAAUAAAGGUCAGCGCCGUAUUCUAGCAGUAGUAGAAUGGCUGGAUGUAAAUAGGGGGAAUUAGAGACACAAUGGAAACUGGUGAGGGCCAAAAUUAGAGCAGUAAUAGCAAGAAUAGAUAGAAUAUUGAGAGAAUGGAGAACAGUGAGAAUGGUGAUAUGCUCCAUGAUAGUAGUGUUUUUGUGCAUAAUUCUCUAGAAAGUUUGUGAUUUUUGCAUUAAUACAUACACACAAAUCUAAAGGUAGUUGGCAUUUCUAAGUUGAAUUUAGGGAUUUGCUCAGUCCCAGGGUGCCUUCUCAGGCCCAUACCCUCUCCCUAUGCUUACCAUUCUUCCUUUGUUGCAGGCUCCAGGAAUUGAAUCUGCGCUCCUAUGUGUCAGUAGUUGCUCCUGACACGAUAUCUCAUGGUAUUUUUAUUUCCCUGUAAGCCUUGCUGCUCAAUGUCAAGUAGUAUCCCCAUACUCGUGUUCUUCCUAUGUUGAUAAAAAUAAAUCCAAGGGUUCUUUAUUUUUUGGGUUUUAAAAACUAUUCAUUUUUAUAGAGAGGCCUGUUGGGGUAGCAAAUAUAAUAGAUAUGGGGAAGUUGAAAGCUUAUAUAACCAACAGACUUUUCUACAAACAGGGUUCAAAUAUAGGCAUACCUAUUUUUUUCAAUUUAAUUACUCUGACACUCAUAUACUUCAGUAGCAUAAAUCCAGUGUCCUCCUUUUGAGGCAACCUAUUCUCCACCAAUUAAUUACUAAUGCUUCAGUAACUCUAGGAUUCAAUCCUCCUCUCAUGCUGAGUAUUAAAAGAAUGUGAUUCUGAUCAGUUCACUGAUAUUGUUGUUUGUUACUCCUGCAUAGAGUUGCUGGGCUGAGGCCUGGCCCUGAAUAACCUGACCCACGAUGCUUGCUCAAUAUUCUAAUGAAGGUUUUAUUGGUCCAGAGUUGUUGGCAGCUACAAUAUUUUGAGGGAGGAUGAA